RNAcentral lists this ribosomal RNA (497 nucleotides) under uncultured bacterium. RNAcentral describes it as "partial 16S ribosomal RNA". It matches the Rfam family "Bacterial small subunit ribosomal RNA", at positions 28 to 507 of the family's 1533-position model. The record is from RNAcentral.
GAUGAACGCUGGCGGCGUGCCUAAUACAUGCAAGUCGAGCGAACGGACGAGAAGCUUGCUUUUCUGAUGUUAGCGGCGGACGGGUGAGUAACACGUGGAUAACCUACCUAUAAGACUGGGAUAACUUCGGGAAACCGGAGCUAAUACCGGAUAAUAUUUUGAACCGCAUGGUUCAAAAGUGAAAGACGGUCUUGCUGUCACUUAUAGAUGGAUCCGCGCUGCAUUAGCUAGUUGGUAAGGUAACGGCUUACCAAGGCAACGAUGUAUAGCCGACCUGAGAGGGUGAUCGGCCACACUGGAACUGAGACACGGUCCAGACUCCUACGGGAGGCAGCAGUAGGGAAUCUUCCGCAAAGGGCGAAAGCCUGACGGAGCAACGCCGCGUGAGUGAUGAAGGUCUUCGGAUCGUAAAACUCUGUUAUUAGGGAAGAACAUAUGUGUAAGUAACUGUGCACAUCUUGACGGUACCUAAUCAGAAAGCCACGGCUAACUACGUG